GCCGGACAGAGCAGAAGAACCCUCUAGGACUGGACGAUUUGGGAAUUCAAAACUUGGGACAAACUGUCAGCCUUGCUCCAGCACCAGAGUGGUUCACAUGCAACCCUCCUCCCCGAGUGCAGAGAGCUCCCAGGACUGAUGACUCCUGAAGGAAAACCCUGGAGGUUCAGCUCUAGCUUGAGGUUUCAGGGCUUCUGAGGCGGUCGGGCAGCAUCAGUCUUCAGCUGCUAAGCCAAGAAGAUCUGGGAAGGAGUCAGUCGGAGAGCCUUGGGCCAGAGUUCCAGGGGCUCUGGGAGUGGCUGCCAGAUAGGAGGUGGGCUGAUAGCACAAGCAUUGGAGACCAAAAUCAAGAGCUACCAUACAGUUGGGAAAACUGGCUAGCCAUAUGCAGAAAACUGAAACUGGACCCCUUCCUUACAUCUUAUACAAAAAUUAACUCAAGAUGCAUAAGACUUAAACAUAAGACCUAAAACCAUAAAAACCCUAGAAGAAAACCUAGGCAACAUCAUUAAGGAAAUAGGCAUGGGCAAAGACUUCAUGACUAAAACACCAAAAGCAACGGCAACAAAAGCCAAAAUUGACAAAUGAGAUCUAAUUAAACUAAAGAGCUUCUGCACAGCAAAAGAAACAUCAUCAGAGUGAAUAGGCAACCUACAGAAUGGGAGAAAAUGUUUGCAAUCUAUCCAUGUGACAAAGGGUGAAUAUCCAGAAUCUACAAAGAACUUAAACAAAUUUGCAAGAAAAAAAAAACAACCCCAUAAAAAGUGGGCAAAGCAUAUGAACAGACACUUCUCAAAAGAAGACAUUUAUGUGAGCAACAAACAUAUGAAAAAAAGCUCAUCAUCAGUGGUCAUUAGAGAAAUGCAAAUAAAAACCACAAUGAGAUACCAUCUCAUGCCAGUUAGAAU
This 908-nucleotide small RNA is filed under the name Pongo abelii (Sumatran orangutan). RNAcentral's name for it is "processed transcript". The record is from RNAcentral. Lineage: Eukaryota; Metazoa; Chordata; Mammalia; Primates; Hominidae.